AGUGAACGCUGGCGGUAGGCCUAACACAUGCAAGUCGAACGGCAGCACAGUAAGAGCUUGCUCUUACGGGUGGCGAGUGGCGGACGGGUGAGGAAUACAUCGGAAUCUACUUUUUCGUGGGGGAUAACGUAGGGAAACUUACGCUAAUACCGCAUACGACCUACGGGUGAAAGCAGGGGAUCUUCGGACCUUGCGCGAUUGAAUGAGCCGAUGUCGGAUUAGCUAGUUGGCGGGGUAAAGGCCCACCAAGGCGACGAUCCGUAGCUGGUCUGAGAGGAUGAUCAGCCACACGGGAACUGAGACACGGACCAGACUCCUACGGGAGGCAGCAGUGGGGGAUAUUGGACAAUGGGCGCAAGCCUGAUCCAGCCAUACCGCGUGGGUGAAGAAGGCCUUCGGGUUGUAAAGCCCUUUUGUUGGGAAAGAAAAGCAGCAGGUUAAUACCCCGCUGUUCUGACGGUACCCAAAGAAUAAGCACCGGCUAACUUCGUG
RNAcentral lists this ribosomal RNA (492 nucleotides) under uncultured bacterium. RNAcentral's name for it is "partial 16S ribosomal RNA". It matches the Rfam family "Bacterial small subunit ribosomal RNA", at positions 29 to 507 of the family's 1533-position model. The record is from RNAcentral.